Astatotilapia calliptera (eastern happy) is the source of this 1203-nucleotide long non-coding RNA. Lineage: Eukaryota; Metazoa; Chordata; Actinopteri; Cichliformes; Cichlidae. The record is from Ensembl.
CACAGACACACAAAGCUGGAGUUAUUCUGUGUUUGCUGCACAGCUGCCUCUUCUUCUCUCAUUCUCUCCCCUUCCUCUCCUGUUUCUACUUCAAUCAUGAAACUGAUCAAUGAUCAGCUGAUCGGCUUUUCUUUUUCUAUUUCAAUUUUUUUUUCUAUUGGUAGGUGGCACAGUGCACUUGUGGCAAGUAAGCAAGCUAGAAGACUGGCAAAGUUAUGGAAGCAACACAUUAACAAGAGAAUUCUGAGUAAAACCAAAGUUACUUUCCCUAAUAACUAGUUACUUUGAAAAUAACUUGAAGUAACUCAGUUAGUUUUGAUAGAAGUAAGUAGUAAUGUAACUAAGUUACUAAUUUAAGUAACUUACCCAACACUGCUCCCGACGCAGGGAAAAGCAGUAAUGCAGGGGAGACCUACCUCGGCCUUGUGCAGGUGAAGCCAAAAAGAAGAUAUGCUUCACCAUAUUUUCUAGUCUUUGGCUUAGAGUGAAGUUGGUUUCGAAACAUAUUCAGCGAUGUUUCAUCUCCUGCUUUGCGUUUGUGUGGACGUCCCGUGUCCAAGCUUUUUUUUUUUUUCUCCCCUUUUCACACCACGCCCUCGGUGCAAUGGUUCAACAAGGUUGAUAACUAACUUUGCCCUUAGAAUUAAAACACAGUAUAUUUAAACUGCUUUUCACCUGUCAGAUAUAAACCCUACUGUCUACUGGGUUAGCAGACUGAACAGCAACCAUUACCUCUAUUGAUCAACAUAUUUGUGCCUAUAGGCACGUGUGUUUUCAACUGUAUUUGUGAAUUUGUGUGUGUGUGCAUGCAGCAAUGUUUGUGAGACCUCCCGCCUGCUCUUCCAUUGACUUUCACUUUGGCCGAUACAGGAUGUCAAUUUAUCAGUCGAUUGAAUAUCUACCAGUCCUUUAUUUAUGACAACACUGGAUGAAGUGUUGCUGCUCCUUUUUCUUCUUCUCUGAAGAGGUGUGGAGAGAGACAAGUGUGUGCAUGUGUGGGGAGAAGGGGGGAGGGGAGGACAAGAGAGAAGCAAAAAUCAAUGUAUUUUUACUGAAAGCUCUUGUGUAGCAGGAACACAGACAGGAAGGAAAGGGGCAGGACAGAGAAAGGGGAAGGGGUUCAGGGUAAGAAAAGCAGUCUGAAAGGAAAGGACAGAGGGUAGGAGCUUUUUUUAUGUCUCCACUCGCUUUCGUACUACUCAG